UGAUGGAGAGUUUGAUCCUGGCUCAGGACGAACGCUGGCGGCGUGCUUAACACAUGCAAGUCGAACGAACCCGAGACUUCGGUCUCAAUGGGUGAGUGGCGAACGG
This 106-nucleotide ribosomal RNA is filed under the name Acidimicrobiales bacterium. RNAcentral's name for it is "partial 16S ribosomal RNA". It matches the Rfam family "Bacterial small subunit ribosomal RNA", at positions 1 to 105 of the family's 1533-position model. Lineage: Bacteria; Bacillati; Actinomycetota; Acidimicrobiia; Acidimicrobiales. The record is from RNAcentral.